GGAUUNUAGUUUGCAACCCGACUACAUGAAGCUGGAAUCGCUAGUAAUCGCGGAUCAGAAUGCCGCGGUGAAUACGUUCCCGGGUCUUGUACACACCGCCCGUCACACCAUGGGAGUCGGAAAUGCCCGAAGUCUGUGACCCAACCUUAGGGAGGGAGCAGCCGAAGGCAGGUCGGAUGACUGGGUGAAGUCGUAACAAGGUAAC
This 205-nucleotide ribosomal RNA is filed under the name uncultured bacterium. RNAcentral's name for it is "partial 16S ribosomal RNA". It matches the Rfam family "Bacterial small subunit ribosomal RNA", at positions 1295 to 1500 of the family's 1533-position model. The record is from RNAcentral.